GCCCGGUUUUGCCCGAAAUCCCUCGGUUCAACCGGGUUUUAGAAACACUGCUCUGGACCCGUGGAUUGCAUCCCGAGAAGGCGAGCGACGCGUGCGACCCAUCUUUCUCCCUCUCGCGACAGCGGCGGCGCCGGCGGCGAUUCGAACGGACGGGACGUCGGCGGAGACUCGGUCGUGGCCGGCUGGAGGAGAGGAGCUCCUCUAAGAUGAUGCCGCCCUUCCUCGACGCUGACGCCGACGGUGGCCGGCUGGAGGAGAGGAGGCCGACCGUAGACCUCCGAGGAAGCUCCAGAUCUCCUGCAUCUCCGCCUUCCCCGACUCCGACGCCGGCUGUCACUUGGAGCACCACAUUGCCCUUACCUAUUCGAUUCUGGGCUGACUAUUCCCUGCAACUUCAAGUCACUUGAUCACUAGCUGAAGGUAUAUGAUGGAGCACUAGAGUUGUACAUGAAGAAGCUCUAGAAGAUGGGCAUGGGUGAAGAUGGGCAUGUGUUUAAUCACAAUCUUGUGAAUAAAAGAUGUCCAGCUUAUUGG
Molecule: long non-coding RNA, 534 nt
Organism: Lolium rigidum
Lineage: Eukaryota; Viridiplantae; Streptophyta; Magnoliopsida; Poales; Poaceae
Exons: 3
Source: RefSeq, a predicted model, not a curated record